This 14580-nucleotide long non-coding RNA is filed under the name Capsicum annuum. RNAcentral's name for it is "long non-coding RNA (CANN_LNC004428)". The record is from RNAcentral. Lineage: Eukaryota; Viridiplantae; Streptophyta; Magnoliopsida; Solanales; Solanaceae.
CCUCAUAUAUGAUGUGAAUACACGUAUAUACCUUGCGUUUUGAAAUCUUUGAAGUCUGAAGAGAGUAAACUCAAAUAAAUGUUGAAAAUUAAAAUGUUAGUAUUAAUCGACUUAUUGAAAUAAAUCUAAAAAGACUGACGAAUAAGCCCCUGUUUUGAAAAAAUUGAACUUUAGUGACUUAUUCCCUACUAAACUCAUAUUAAAAUUUCAUUUUUUAUUUUUGAGCAAAUACAGGGGGCGGGGGAGGGGGGCACGCUAAGUCUAGAAGAGAAACUUCUCUUUUAGGUCAAAGUUAGCCCUUUCUUUAAAGUAAAUUGGCCAAGUCCUGAAAUGAUAAAGCCCCUUUUUCAUCUUUUAAACGAAAUCUAUAUUUACAAGUUAGUUAAUCGUGUGUUGUUUGUAAAGGGACGGGGAUAUUAAUCGAAAUUCACAAAUACUAAGGCAACAAAACGCACUAAGCAAAUGAUAUGAAUACAACAAUAAUAACUAUACGAUUCCGAGGUUCAAAAAGGCUUAACAACAUAGCAAGAAUAAUGAAAUAAAGAGAAUGGUUGAGGAAUUUUAGACUCCUAAUGGAGUUUGAGUUCCUAAUUUAUGCGACUCCAAGAUCCUACGAUCCUAGUAGCGGUUGACAUGAUGCUUGGUUCAAAAUGAGUUUCGAAUGAAACUCCACCUGAUCUCUAGCUCACGUGAAACAAUAAAAGAAAUAAGAAAUUAUGUAACAACCUAAAAAUUUGAUGAAAUAUGUGAAAUUUGUGAUUUUGUGUGAUUUGACUAUUCUAACCCUCUCCAUAAUUGUAUUAUGAUAUUUCUGGGGUGUGGGAUGAUUGGCAUAGUUUCUGAUGCAUUUUGGUAUAAUUUAUGCGAUAUUGUAGUUUUUGAAGGCUCUGAGAGCCUUAUUUUGGACUUAUGGAUAUACCUUUUGAUCCAUGCGGCGGAUGACCUAACAGACUGCGCCAGCGGCUCUGGAAUAUCAAUUUUAGGCUAGGUAGACCUUUGGUUUGAAUACGUGUGCACCCGAGCUCAUUUCAACCUAUUGAUCGAAAGUUGAAAAAAUUAAAAAUAUGGGUGUGGGAUCCACAUUAGAUCGAAACAACCUCGAAUGAAAAAUUCAACUUUGCCAGCAGAUCCGGAAGGUUGAUUUUAGGGUGUUAGCAUAUUUGAUAUGAUUUUACGGCUUUCAAAUAUCAUUUCAACUCUCGAUUUGGAAAAUUAUGAUUUCGGAUUCUGGGGUCAACUUUGUGAAAAUGAUAUUUUUUUGAAAAUAUGAUAUCGUCAUCGCGUCUGGAACGUCGAAUUUAGUAUGUUUGCAUAGUUCGUUUGUAUGGAUAGGACUUCGAAUGAAUCCCGGACACCCCGUCGAGGAGAAAAAAAUAGCAGUUUUUUCUGCUAUAACAGUGCAGAAAAUCUGCACUGUUUAAGCAACUUUUUUGGUCCAUUUUGCUCAUUUUUUAUCUUGUCUCUUGAGAGUUAAAUCCUAAAAUAGUGUGGAAAAUUAAAAGUGAAGUUUGUGGGAGCUUGGGAAGCUGGAUUAAUAUAUAUUUCUUGGUUUUAUUACGGAUUUAAGGUAAGAAUUCACCCUUUCCUUAGUAAAUUCUUGAUUAAUUUCUCAAAACUUCAAAAAUCUUAGGGCUUUAUUUUAAACCCCAAUUUAACUCUUUUUCACUUGAAUAAUGUUUUUAUCUUAUAAUUAUUAGUUUUUCAUCAAUUUAACCUGUAAAACAACUCCGAUUCUUCAUUUUAACCAGGAUUUCAAAGAUUUUAUCCGGUAAAGCUUAAAAUGGUUUUUCUUCAAUUUGAACCUCGUUUUUUUUUUCGAUUUCACUUGAGUUUUCAGCUGUGAAUUCCUAAAAUUAUGAAAAACAUAUUUUCGAAGUAAAGUUCAGAUUUUGUCCUUUUUCGAAAACUCAUUCUGGGGGUCCAUUUUGAUCCCGAACCAAAAGUAGUCAAUAUGGGUAUCGUUAGUUUUGUUUUGAUGCGUAGAUUUCAUAUUUGAUAUUUUUAGUGGAUUUCAAAAUUGUUCAUGAAAAGUAAGAUCGUGAGUUCGAAGUGUAGCGGAUCGAUUUUGACUUUUGAGGUAGGUUAUGGCUUAACUCUUUCAGACUGAGUUGGGUAGUAAAUGAUGGUACAAAAUACAUGUUAAGAGUGGGAACUAAUCAUGAAAAAUAUUUAUCUACGUAUUGUGUCCAUGUGGGCCCUAUAUGUGAUGUAAUUGUCGAAAUUGAGAUAUUAUGUGAUAUGUGUGACCGUGUGGGGUCCUAUGUGACAUUGAUAGUCUUGAAUACAUGUGAAUAAUUGUAUUGUGUUGUUGAAAUGCCUAAUGUGAUUUCAUUGGUAUAUUAUGAUAUAUCCAUACUUAUUGGUAUAUGAGACAUGUGAAAAUUCAUGGAUAAAACUAAAAUAAUGAGUGGAUAUUGGCUCAUGUGGUUGUAGAAUUGUAACAUUAUGGUUGGUUGUGUAAAUACAUCAAGUGUAUUGGGCGUGAAAAUACAUCACGUGGAUUGGUUGUGAAAAUACUCAUUUUUAAUGGUUGUGAAUAAUGCAUCAUCAUUCUCAUGUCAUCAUACACAUUAUUUCACUUAUUCAUUUUACUGCUUUAUAUAUACUUGUUGUCAUGUAUGUGUACUUGAUUUAUGUCUUAUAUAUGUAUGUGCUUUAAAAAUACUGGAAACACUGGAAUACUGGAUAUUUAUAUCGGAUAUUGAAUUUUAUGGACCAUCUCAGAAGGAUCAUGCAAGAGAAAAGUUGCGAGUAUUAGUGAUCUUGAGGCUAUGUGCCAAAUUUAAGAAUGUGUGCCAAACUUGAGGUUAUGUGUCCAUACCAUGCAUCAUCAUCAUCAUCAUCAUAUACAUUGCACCCGCCUUAUUGUGUUUAUGUUGUGUUUGAAUUGCCAUAUUGACUUGUCAUCCACCUAAUUGUUCUAUAUCUUGACUUAUUAACGUCUAAUUAUUCUAUAUUUCUUUAAUUGUACUUGAUGAUCUUGAUUAUACAUGUCCCUCUUUUGUUCUACAUGUAUGUGAUAUUGUGUAUAUUCGUAUCCCUAUCUUGUGUAUUGUUGUAUUAUAUAUGGAUAUUAUAGAACUGUCAGUGCAAGCGGUAUGGGGUAUCGUUAUGGGACAUUUUCUGAUUGCAGGUGACGUGCCCUUAGUGUAUAUUUUGUAUGCUUUAUUUACUACUUAGUUUGGUCGGCCUAUGAUACCUACUGAGUACGAAUGGACCGUACUCAUACCUACUGCGUCUUUUUAGUAUAGGUCCUAGCUCGAGUGUGCCUCAACUUGCUUGACUCGGGCGAUUAUUGGAGCUUCCAAGGUAGUGGUUGGACAUUUAUGCGUCCAGAGUUCACCUCUAUUUUUCUAUUGUAGUUAUGUCUUUAUUAGUAUUCGGAGACAGAUAUUACUCAAUUUCGGUUAUUUUUCUGAUGUAUUUGACUCUUGAAUUGUAUUAAUAGUUCUUACACUAUUGACACCUGAUUUUGCGCAAAAUUGAUAUCUUGGAUAAGUUCUUUCUGUAUUAUAAUAAUUACUUCUAUGGUUUGGCUUCGUUCUAGAAGCCUUACCUUGGGAUGUUUCUGUCUUUUCCUCUUUUUGUAUCAGUUUGGGUGAUAGGCUUACCUGUCAAGGUAUGCCAUGAUAGGUGCCAUUAUGAUCCUCACUUUUGGGUCACGAAAAAUUGGCAUCAGAGCAGCCAGUUUUCAUUGGUCUCAACGAUGUAAGAACGAGAUGUCUAAUAGAGUCUCGCAGAUCGGUACGUAGAUGUCCGUAUCUAUCAUCGAGAGGCCAUAGGACGUCUUUAGGGAACUUUUCUUAUUUUAUUCCUUAUCGUGCGAAGUUCUUUCAUACCUUAUGUUCUGAGUUGUGUUUUACUCUUUCUGCACGGAUGGUGCGACUUAUAAUACCAUCAGUUGAGAGAUGCUGGGAGAAAUGGGUGGAGAUUGUUUGUUAACUGUAGGCCUGUUGAUGCUCCUAAGUUGUCAUGGGAUCAAAUUGAUAAUGCCUUUCUGGAGAGAUUCGUGUCUUAUAGUUUGAGGGAUCGGAUACAGGACGAGUUUGAUCAUUUGGAGAAGGACUCCAUGAAAGUUGUGGAGUAUAAGGGAUAUUUCUAUGCCCUGUCCAAAUAUUUCUAUGAUAACAUUGCCAUCGAGUCUGAUAAGGUUUGAAAGUUUGUGAAGGGUUUGGAAAUUUUUACUUCAGUUGGCUACGUCUCAAAUGGUUGUGUUUGGGGCUUAUUUUCAGAGAAUUAUGAAUCACGCUAAGAUCAUAGAGGAUAUUCUUAGUGCAUCUCAGGGAGGCGCCAAGAAAGCGCGAUGUUUUGGUGAGUUCGGGAGGCAGACCUAUUGAGGUAGAGAUUUUAGAGGUUCUUGUGGAUACCAUGGUAGACUAGUGGAGGCUUUACAGAGUUCAAGGGGUGGAUCUUCUAGUUCAGUAGUUCAGGGUGGCCGUUCGAGCCCAGUUGUACCUUCUCCUGUUGAGGCUGUUCAUAGAGGUUGCUAUAUGUGUGAUGAGACUGGCUAUGUGGCGAGGGACUGCUCCGGUAGGUGAUUCUUUAGUGGUGGAUCAGGUGCACCGAUCUUGUGUUGUGAUUUUUGGAGGGCGUGAGACUUUGAUAGACUUGCUUGUGUUAGACAUGGUCGAUUUUGAUGUUAUUUUGGGUAUGAAUUGGUUAGCUCCUUAUCAUGAUGUCUUAGAUUAUUUUGAUAAGAUUGUGACUUUAGCUUCGUCGGGUGUGCUAAGGAUAGAUUGGAAAAGCGUACUUCAUUUGGGUCCUAAGACAAGAGAUUAUAUCUUAUGUUCAUGCUUGUAAAUUGGUUGAGAGGGGAUGUUUAUCUUACUUGGCUUAUAUUCGUGACACCAGUAUUAUUUCCCCUUCUUUCUUGGAUUCAGUCCGUGAGUUUAUGGACGUGCUCCCUAAGGACUUUCCUGGUAUGCCUUUGGAUCGAGAUAUUGAUUUCACUAUUGAUGUUGAGUCGGGCACCAAGCCCAUUUUUGUGCCUCCUUAUACGAUGGCCUCAGCAGAGUUGAAGAAACUGAAGGAUCAGUUGUAGGAGUUGUUGGAUAAGGGAUUUAUCCAACCUAGUGUUUCACCUUGGGGUGCGCCUAUCUUGUUUGUGAAGAAAAAGUAUGGGUCUAUGCAGAUGUGUAUUGAUUAUCGAUAGCUGAAUAAGGUGACGGUUAAGAAUAAGUAUCUUUUUCCUCGCAUUAAUGAUUUAUUUGAUCAGUUUUAGGGUGUUGUGGUGUUUUCAAGGAUUGGUUUGGGGUCUCGUUGUCACUAGUUGAUGAUUAGAGCUUUGGAUAUUCUGAAGACAGCUUUAUGGACUCGAUAUGAUCAUUAUGAGCUAUUGGUCAUGUCUUUUGGGUUGAGCAAUGCCCCUGUCACGUUCAUGGAGUUGAUGAAUCGGGUGUUUUGAUCAUAUCUCAAAUUCUUUGUUAUUGUAUUUAUAGAUGAUAUCUUGGUUUAUUCCAAGAGUGAGGUUGGGCAUUUAGAGCAUUUGCAGAUUGUGCUUCAGAUAUUGAGGGAUGAGAAGUUGUAUGUUAAGUUUUCUAAGUGUGAGUUUUGGUUGGAGUCUACUUCUUUCUUGGUCCAAGUAGUGACUAAGGUAUUAUGGCUGAUCUAGCCAAGGUUGCAGCGAUUCGUGAUUGGGCUAGACCUACUUCGCCCACCGAGAUUUGGAGCUUUGUUGGCUUGCCAGGUUAUUAUCGGCGUUUUGUUGAGGGUUUCUCUUCUAUUGCAGAUCUAUUGACCAAGUUGACCCAAAAGAAGAUUUCUUUUUAGUGGUCCGAUGCUUAUUAGGCGAGUUUCCAAAAGCUCAAGAAUUUGUUGACUUUAUCUCCUAUCUUAACUUUAUCUAAGGAGAGUGUGGGUUUUACCAUCUUUGGUGAUGCUUCAGGUAUUGGGUUAGGUUUUGUAUUGAUGUAGGAUGGCAAGAUAAUUGCUAAUGCAUCUCAUCAGUUGAAGCCUCAUGAGAGGAAUUAUUCUACCCAUGGUUGGAGUUGUGCGCAUUUGUGUUUGCCUUGAAGUUAUGGAGGCACUACUUGUAUAGAUUCUGUUGUGAAAUCUUCUCAAAUCAUCAUAGCCUUCAUUACCUCACCCAAAGAGAUCUUAAUAUGAGGCAGCGCCGUUGGCUUGAGUUUCUUAAGGAUUAUGACUUGACUAUUCUCUAUCAUUUGGGCAAGGCUAAUAUGGUUGUGGAUGCCUUGAGUCAGAAGUCGACUGACAUGGGUAGCUUGGAGUGUCGUUUGACCCAAGAGAGGCUUUUGACCUUAGAAAACCAGUCUUUAGCUAAUCAGAUGGUUAGGCUUGAUAUUUCGACACUUGGGCGUGUUUUGGCUUUUGUGGAGGCUAGAUUUUCUUUGAUGGAGAAUAUUAGAGCUCAGCAGUUUGAUGAUGUUGGAUUGACGUUGAUUCGAGAUAAGGUGUUGAGUAGUGAGGCUAAGGAAGCUUCACUUAAUUUAGAUGAAGUUUUGAAGAUUGGAGGCCGAGUUUGUGUGUUGAGAUUACGUGAUUAAAUUAGGCUGAUCUUCGAGGAGGCGCGUUGUUCUAAAUAUUUUAUCCAUCCAAGUGUAACUAAGAUGUAUCGUGAUUUGAGGCAACAUUACCGGUGGGGUGGUAUGAGGUGAGAUAUAGCGGAUUUUGUGGCUUGUUACCUAUGUUAUCAGCAGGUGAAGGCCGAGCAUAUGAGACCUGGUAGGUUGCUUCAGAGGUUACCCAUUCCUGAAUGGAAGUGGGAAUGGAUCAUCAUGGACUUUGUGACUGGUUUUCCUCAUACAUCUCAUGCUUCUGACAGUGUUUGUGUCAUUUUGGAUCGAUUUCCCAAGCCAACUUAUUUUAUUCCAGUUCAGGUCUCAUUCAGUGCUGAGAAGUUGGCUCGUAUCUACAUUCGUGAGAUUAUGCAUCUGCAUGGUGUGCUGGUGUCCAUUACUUUCGAUCGAGGUUUGUGUUCACAUUUCACUUUUGGAAGAUUUUUCAAGAUGAGUUGGGUAUUCGGGUUGAUCUUAGCAGAGUGUUUCACCCCCAGACUGUUGGCCAGUUAGAGCGGACUAUCCAGGUUUUAGAGAAUAUGCUCCGUGCUUGUGUUAUGAAUUUUGGUGGCCAAUGGGAGCAGCAUUUAGCUUUAGCAGAGUUUGGAUUUAAUAAUAGCUAUCAUUCUAGUAUUGAUAUGGCUCCUUUUGAGGAAUUGUCGCUCCACAGUGGGUUGAUUUGAUAUUUUAGAGAUGAGACCUCGAGUUACAGACUUGCUUCGUGAGUCUUUGGAUAGAAUUCGGGUCAUUUAGGAUAGACUUAGAGCGGCUCAGAGUAGGCAGAAGUGCUAUGCUGAUCGCAAACUUCAUGCCCUGAGAUUUGAUGUUGGUGAUCGCAUUUUCCUUAGAAUUUCACCCAUGAAAGACGCGAUGAGGUUUGGGAAGAGGGGCAAGCUUAGCCCCAGGUAUAUUGGUCCAUUUGAAAUUCUUCAGAUUAUUGGUGAUGUGACUUAUGAGUUGGCUUUGCUCCCUGAUUUAUCAAGUGUUCACCAGUUUUUAAUGUUUCUAUGCUUCGUCGCUAUAUUUCUAAUGAGUCUUAUGUCACUCGUUGGGAUUCGGUUUAGUUAGAUGAACGGUUGUCCUUUGUUGAGGAUCCGAUCUUCAUUUUUCUUAGCUAGGGAUGUUAGGAGGUUGCACUCUAGAGUUAUCUCUGUGGUUAAGGUCCAGUGGCGACAUCGACCUGUAGAUGAGGCUACUUGGAAGGUCGAGUCUGAUAUGCAUAGUUCUUAUCCUCAGCUCUUCAUUGAUUCAGGUAUUUCUUGGUCUUUGUUCGAGAAAGAACUAGAUCUUUAGUGGUGGAUGAUGUAACGACCAAAAAGUUUGAUGAAAUAUGUGAAAUUUAUAAUUUUGCGUGAUUUAGCUGUUUUACUCCUCCCUAUAGUUGCAUUAUGGUAUUUCUGGUGUGUGUGGGUGAUUGACAUGAUUUUCGAUGUAUUUUGGUACCAUUUAUGGGAUAUUGUGGUUUUAUCUAGCUUCGAGAGCCUUAUUUUGAACUUAUAGGGAUAUCUUUUGAUCUAUGUGACGGAUGACUGAACGGACUACGCCAACAGCUCCGAAAUAUUAAUUUUAGGCUAGGUACACCUUUGGUUUGAAUCCCUAUGCACCCAAGCUCAUUUCAACCUAUUGAUCAGAAAGUUGAAAAAAAUUAAAAAUAUGGGUAUGGGAUCCACAUUUGAUCGAAACAACCUCGGAUGAAAAAUCCGACUUCGCCAUCAGAUCCGAAAUUUUACGGCUUUUAAAUCUCAUUUCGAUCCUCGAUUUAGAAAAUUGUGAUUUCAAAUUUCGGGGGUCAACUUUGUGAAAAUAAUAUUUUUUUAAAAUAUGAUAUCGCUGUCGCGUCUAGAAUGUCGAAUUUAGUAUGUUUGCAUAGUUCGUUUGCGUGUAUCGAACUCUGAACGAAUUCCGAGCACCCCAUCGAAGUUCGGAUUGGACUUGAGAAAAAAAUAACAAUUUUUUCUGCUAUAACGGUGCAGAAAAUUUGUACUAUUUAAGCAACUUUUUGGGCCCAUUUUGCUUAUUUUUCAUCUUGCCCCUUGAGAGUUAAACCCUAAAAUAGUGUGAGAGCUUAAAAGUGAAGCUUGGUUUUAACAUAUAUUUCUUGGUUUUAUUAUGUAUUUAAGAUAAAAAUUCACCCUUUCCUUAUUAAUUUCUUGAUUAAUUUCUCAAAACUUCAAAAAUUUUAGGGCUUGAUUUUAAACCUCAUUUUGACUUGAAUAAUGUUUUUAUCUUAUAAUUAUUUAUUUUUCAUCAAUUUAACCUUCAAAACAACCCCGAUUCUUGAUUUUAACCUGAAUUUCAAAGAUUUUACCUGGUAAAACAAAAAAAUGGUUUUUCUUCAAUUUGAACCUCUUUUUUUACUCGAUUUGACUUGGGUUUUCAGCUAUAGAUUUCUAAAAAUAUGGAGAACAUGUUUUUGAAGUAAAGUUUCGAUUCUGCCUUUCUCUUUUGGAAACUCGUUUUGGGGUUCGUUUUGAGCCCGAACUAAAAGUAGUCAAUAUAGGUGUUGUUGGUUUUGUUUUGAUGCAUAGAUUUCAUAUUUGAUGUUUUUAGUGAAGUUUAAGAAUUUUCAUGAAAAGUAAGAUCGUGGGUUCGGAAUGUAGCGAACCGAUUUCGACUUUUGAGAUAAGUUAUGGCUUAACUCUUUCAGACUGGCUGGGUAGUAAAUGUUAAUAAAAAAUGUGGAUGGGAACUAAUCAUAAAAAAUGUCUAUCUAUGUAUUGUGCACGUGUGGAGGCCUAUAUAAGAUGUAAUUAUCGUAAUUGAGAUAUUAUGUGAUGUGUGAUCGUGUGGGGUCCUAUGUGACAUUGUUAACCUUGAAUACAUGUGAAUAAUUCUAUUGUGUUGUUGAAAUGCCUAAUGUGGUUUCAUUGGUAUAUUGUGAUAUAUCCAUACUUAUUGGUAUAUGAGACAUGUGAAAAUUCAUGGAUGAAACAGAAGUAAUGAGUGGAUAUUGGCUAAGGCUGCUUAUCGGACGGAUCGGAUGAACCAUUAAAUAUAACAGUUUGGCUUAACAAUUAUCGAUUUUAAAAUAUACAAAUCUACUAGCCAACCAAUAAGAUAUCGGUUGGUUUGGUAACGGAUAAAUAAUUAUCGGGCGGUUAUCAGACGGUUUAUUGGACAUUCACAAUUUCUACUUGAAUUCAAACACCUUACAGAAAACAGAACAUAAUAAUUGGCAAUCUCAAUCAUAACAAAUUUUUCAAUUUAUGUAGUACAUGGUUCAAAGAGAACUCUCAAUAUUGUAAGCAAAAAGUUUCAUUUGCCCAAGCUAUAAUACAUUAAUUUCUCCACAUUAUGAUAUUCUUGAAACAAAAGUGACAUAUAUUACAACAAAUUAAGCAUUUGAUCGUAACAAGCUCACGAGGAUGCACUAAUUAAACUAUGUGCUUCAAUGUCCACAUGCUUAAUAUCAGGAACUAUUUCCUGGAUUUCCUUUUCUAGCCAACCAACUUUAGCCCCUAAUGCUGUUUUCUUUCCUUUGAAAAAUAUAUUUAAAGUUUAAAGUCGGUAGAGCUUUUGAAGUUGGCAAACCUUCUGUUGCUUUGCUUUUUUGCGUUGAUAACUUUAGUACUUUACUGUUUAAUUUUUAUAUUAUUCGAGGUUAAUUAGGAAUGGGCCUUUAGGUUCGAAUAUAGAUCCAUUAGGUUUGAAUUUAUAUUUUAUAAUAUAAUAUAAAUUAAUAUGUAUUUUACACAUUUAGGUGAAAAAUAUAAGAAUAUAUGAUAAUUUUUAACGGGUUAACGGUUUAUCCAAUAAGGAAAUAGUGUAAUCCACCCCCACUUUAAUAAGCCGUUAAUGAAAAAAAUUUUAAUGCGUUCACCAACCGUUUAUCCGAUAGCCAAUAUCAAUAAGCCAAUAAGUCAAUUUUGCGGAUGGCUUAUUGGAUACGAUUCGAUUUUGAACAGCCUUAAUAUUGGCUCACGUGAUUGUAGAAUUGUAACAUUAUGGCUAGUUGUAGAAAUACAUCAUGUGGAUUAGGCGUGAAAAUAUAUCACGUGAUUUGGUUGUGGAAAUACUCAUUUUGAAUGAUUGUGAACAUUGCAUCGUCAUUCUCAUGUCAUCAUACACAUCAUUUCACUUGUUCGUUUUACUGCUUUAUAUAUACUUGUUGUCAUAUAUGUGUAUUUGAUUUAUGUCUUAUGUUAUGUAUGUGCUUUGAAAAUACUGAAAACAUUGGAAUACUAGAUAUUGGUAUCGGAUAUUGGAUUUUGUGAACCAUCUUCAAAUGAUCAUGCCAGAGAAAAAUUGUGGAUAUUGGUGAUCUUGAGGUUAUAUGCCAAACUUGAGGCUGUUUGCCAAAUUUAAGGUUGUGUGCCAAACUUGAGGUUGUUUGUUAAAUUUAAAGUUGUGUGCCAAACUUGAGGUUGUGUGUGAAACUUGAGGCUAUGUGUCAAUACCAUGCAUCAUCAUCAUCAUCAUAUAUAUUGCACCCGCCUUAUUGUGUUUAUGUUGUGUUUGAAUUGACAUAUUGACUUGUCAUUUACCUAUUUGUUCUAUAUCUUGACUUGUUAAUGUCUAAUUGUUCUAUCUUCCUUUAAAUGUACUUGAUGGUCUUGAUUAUACAUGCCCCUCUUUUGUUCUACCUGUAUGUGAUAAUGUGUAUAUUUGUAUUCGUAUCUUGUGUGUUGUUGUAUUAUAUAUGGAUAUUAUAGAACUAUUAGUACAAGCGGUGUCAGCUACCAUCAUGGGACAUUUUUUAAUUGCAGGUGGCGUGCCCUUAGUGUAUAUUUUGUAUGCUUUAUUUACUACUUUGUUUAAUCGGCCUAUGAUACCUACUGAGUACAAGUGAACCAUACUCAUGCCUACAGCAGUCUUUCGGUGCAGGUCCUAGCUCGAGUGCGCCUUGGCUUGCUUGACUCGAGCAAUUAUUGAAGCAUCCGGAGUUCACCUCUAUGCUUCUAUUGUAGUUAUGUCUUUAUUAGUAUUCGGAGACAUAUAUUAUUUUCUUUUAUUUAUUUUUCUAAUGUAUUUGACUCCUGAAUUGUAUUAUUCUGAAGCAUCCGGAGUUCACCUCUAUGCUUCUAUUGUAGUUAUGUCUUUAUUAGUAUUCGGAGACAUAUAUUAUUUUCUUUUAUUUAUUUUUCUGAUGUAUUUGACUCCUGAAUUGUAUUAGUGUUUCUUACACUAUUGACACCUGAUUUUGGGCAUGAUUGGUAUUUUGAAUAAGAGUUUUCCGCAUUGUUAUAAUUACUUAUAUGGUUCAGCUUCGUUUUAGAAGUCUUACCUUGAGAUGUUUCUAUCUUUUCCUCUUUUUGUAUCAAUUUGGGUGAUAGGCUUACUUGUCAAGAUACGCCGUGAUAAGUGUCAUCAUGACUCUCGCAUUUGGGUCGUGACAAAUUAGGAAUCUGAGAGUCAAGUAAUAAGCCCAGAAAAUGAAAUUAAGAAAGAACAAACAUUUAAACUUCGAAAUGUCUAAAAUGUGAUCAAACAGAUACUAAACUCGAACAAAAUACUCUUAAUUCUUUGAAAGACUACCACCAAAGGGGAACUAUUGCCAAUAAACUUUACUAUAGAUGCACACGCGUGAAGAAGUACCGGGACACUUUAAAGCAACUAAUUCAUUAAUUACACACAUUGUCCCUUUCAUAAUGGAAACUUAACGACCUAUCAAAAGGCCAAACAGAAAAGGGUUUCUAGUUACACUUACCAUCCUCUUUCCAAUUUUUACUCUUCCAGGAAGUGAUUAAAGAAAUACAAUACGCGCCUUAAGACUAUACAGUGAACGAAAAUAAGUAAGGCCAUAUAUUUAAUUCUUGAAAUGCUCGUGUGAAUGUCCGUCCAGACCAAAUAAAGAAGCACAAAACUUGACUCAAUUACCAACUUCGUUGACUUUGCAUUUUGAAUUCACUGGGAACAAAAUACAUCACAUAUUCUAAACACGGAAUUGCCAUAUUUAUAGAAAAUUGUAAUUUAAUUUAGACCAGAAUAACUCCACGGCCGAAUUUGAAACCAACAUGAAUUGCAUGUUCACCUAUUUUGACACCGGACAUAUGUGAGAAUGAGAAUUGAGGCUAGAUAAAAUUAUUUAACAAGGCUCAAGUAAAAACACCACACACUUUUAUUCAAUUUGAACUUGAGGAAAUGCAACUACGCAGAGAGAUAAUAAAAUAGGUACGUGAUGAUGCCAUAUCAAUUUAAGCCAUAGAUACAAAAUUUUACCCCACUUUCUUAAAAGAAAAAUCAACCAAAUACAAAAUUUUGACGUAAACAAAAAUUUAAUACUACUUGAACAUCACAGAUGUGAGUCCUAUGACCAUCUGGACAUGAAAACUAUUAGAAAAGGGAGGUUUUGGAAGUCAUAUUUCAAACGGGAAAACAAAUGUUUUAAGUCUUAAGAAUUACCAUUCAGCCAAGUCUGGCAAAAUCGGGAGAAUAAUACAAUCAAAACGGGGUGGAAAAUCAUUUCCGAUUGUUCACGAGACCAUACAACAAUAACAACAAUAACAACAACAACAACAAAACCAGUAUAUUCCCCACAUAGUGGGAUCUGGGAGGAUAAAAUGUACGCAGUCCAUACCACUACCCCGAAGGAGUACAGAAGCUGUUUCCGAUAGACCCCCGGCUCAAGACAGAUUGUGUGUAACCACCUAAAACAACAUAAACAUCAGACCCCCUUUUAUCCCCAAUUAUUUCAAACUCACGAGAUUCCAAUUGUUACGGAUAGAGACCAACUAUGAAAAAUAAUGGAGUUAAGCUCCCAAAAACACAGUGUGGGCAUAUACAGUAUUUCAGGGUAAAUCCAUAAGAGGUCACGUAUAUCUCAUUUUUAUAUACGACGGCCACGUAGACGAUGACGAGUAAAAUUACAAGGCAAGACGAAAGACUCACACUCUUUUCGGGACUCGAUCCAUGAACUAUACACUAAAUGAAAAAUCACUGGAAAGCGGGAAAAGAAAAACAUACUUUCAUAUUUCGCAAACUUACGUUCUUAACGGGAAACAAAAAGGAAAGAAAAAAAAAAACUACUAACUAGCUAAUUUGACCACGAAUCAGCCAUCUACAUAAAGAGGAGGAACAUCUUUGUAUGUUUAUUUGUAUAUUUACAUAUUUGCACAAAACCAGCUUCAUGAAAAUCGACGUUCCACCUUUACUUCAUCGAAAUAACGACAGAACAACUACAAAAUCUUAACAUUGGCCAAAACUCACAAAUUCUUGUAUAUCAAAAAAAAAAAAAAACGAAAGAGAUAAAGAGUGAGAUGAAAAGAGGGAUUUCACACCUUUCUUGGUGCAGCAAAAUAGAGGCUUUGACGCCUAAAGGUUUCCGACAACUGCAAACUCAACCACGGGACCCCAGAAUUGGACCAAAUCAGAAAGAUAAUAGCCGAUUUUUUCCUGCAUCACUCGCUUCUCUCUUUGAUUUCCACUCUUUUCUCCGUUUUUCACCUCUUUUGUCACAAAUUUUUCAUACCUUUUCUCAUUGGUUCUUUUUUCAAUCUUUCUCGCUAGUUUUCUUUGUUCCUUCUCUUAACACUGUUUUUUUUCUUGUUCCCUUAGAGAUGACGUAUUUAUAGGUGAAUCCGGACUUGAAAGUCCGGAUCCAAGACACAAAUUAAGCAAAACGUGAGAGAAUUGAUUUGAAAUUUGAAAUGAAUCUCAGAAACGAAUCCUCUUCCGAAUCUUUAACUUUUCAGGCCAUUGAUUGCGAAUACGAAUUUCUUUUCCAUUGUUAUCAUCGAUUUAGGGUCUGUUUUCUCCGUCUUUUCAUUUUCACGGGUUAGGGUGACACUAAAAAAGAGAUUCUCGAGCAUCCUAGCGGCAGGCUUGGGUGGAGAUUAGGGUUCCUUAUUUCGGGAUGGUAGAUGAGGGGUGAGGGGUGAGGGGUGAGGGAUGAGGAGGAGAGAAGGUCCGUGGUUGGAGCUGAUUUUGGAAAAAUGAUGGUGACCGCAAGCUGAUUUUGGGAAGAGGAGAGAUACGCGUUAUGGUUUUUGGGAAAGAGAGAGGGAGACACUUUUUUUUUGUUUUGGAAUCCUUGACUAAUUUUGAUUCGUAAGAUCAAAAGAUCGUACCACUAAAAACAAGUACACUAAAAUAAUAAUAGUAAAUAAAAAACAUGUAUUUUAGUAUU